GACGAACGCUGGCGGCGUGCUUAACACAUGCAAGUCGAGCGGUAAGGCCCUUUCGGGGGUACACGAGCGGCGAACGGGUGAGUAACACGUGGGUGACCUGCCCUCAGCUCUGGGAUAAGCCUGGGAAACCGGGUCUAAUACUGGAUAUGACUCCAUGACGCAUGUUGUGGGGUGGAAAGCCUUGUGCGGCUGAGGAUGGGCCCGCGGCCUAUCAGCUUGUUGGUGGGGGAUGGCCUACCAAGGCGACGACGGGUAGCCGGCCUGAGAGGGCGACGGCCACACUGGGACUGAGGACACGGCCCAGACUCCUACGGGAGGCAGCAGUGGGGAAUCUUGCGCAAUGGGCGAAAGCCUGACGCAGCGACGCCGCGUGAGGGAUGACGGCCU
This 387-nucleotide ribosomal RNA is filed under the name uncultured bacterium. Its description in RNAcentral is "bacterial SSU rRNA". It matches the Rfam family "Bacterial small subunit ribosomal RNA", at positions 28 to 417 of the family's 1533-position model. The record is from RNAcentral.